Molecule: long non-coding RNA, 9941 nt
Organism: Gallus gallus (chicken)
Lineage: Eukaryota; Metazoa; Chordata; Aves; Galliformes; Phasianidae
Exons: 5
Source: RefSeq, a predicted model, not a curated record
CUCCCUGGCAUGUUGGACCAAAAAAUAGUCAAUCCAUAAUAAUCUGCUAAUUCGCCGUAAUUCACAUGUUAAGCCAUCUGGCCCCAAAAGUCACCAUACAAUGCACAGGACGAUUUAUCCCCUAGCAUAUGCAGCCACAGCAUGUGUUGGUGCUGCAGGUGGGACCAGAAGUGCCCCCAUCUCGAGCAAACGACAGCGUUAUCCCCAGCACACAAGUGUGGAUCCACAGAGACAGCAUUUGGAGCACAGAGGAAUCCUGCUGUCUCCCAUUAAAUGCUUCAGUCAACUUUCUUUUUCCCCCAGCUAAAAUGCCCUGCAGCUCUAGGGGUAGACUUUGGAUCUCAAAGCUAGAAAGCUUCCACUGUAGCACAAGCAGUAUCCUAAAAUAGAGAAAUGAAAAACCAGAAACGUUGUUUUCCUCUUGCAGAGGGUUUGCAGUGAGAGACUGCUGAAAUGGCUCACUCCCAAUUGCUUCUCCUGACCUCCUGCGCUCAAAAGAUCUCUCAUCCUGAGGUCCAGAGGGACCUUGAUAUUGUGCCUAUGGCUCUGGUGUUACCAGAAACCACCUUAAGGUAACUGAGCACAGGGUUUGGUCUUUAUGAAUCAGUUUUAGGGAAGCUGACAGCUACAAAUCCCCAUGUUUUUGUUCUGCUGAAAGCAGCCUGAAGAUCUAAAUUUAACAGUUGAUUUCACAAUACUCAUUUUUCACUGUAAGUAAAAUCACUCUUGAAAAAUAGCACAUAAGAGGAAGGAAUAUAUUCUCCGGAUGCUCGAAAAGCAAACCAAAAAAAAAGCAAACAGGAUAAAUGUAUCCUCUUUCACCAUUCAGAUUGCUUCUGAUGGCAUAGAUUUCUACUUGAGAUCCUGGGGUGAAUUCUGUGAAUAAAGAUGUCAGUUACAGAGCACACUCAUAAUUCCUGACCCCAUUUAGGAGGGAGAUACAGCACGGAUCUCCAGUAUUCUGGUCAAGGAAAGCAAUGCCUGCAGAUCAAAUCUGAGACAUGAAUGGUUUUUUCACAUUAGCGAGACAGAUUUCUCCAGUAUAAAAGAGACUUCUUCAUGCACACAGUUAUUCUGAUAAAUUUCCCUAUGUAGACAAGUAAUCACUAUCACUUACCCCACACUCACAUAACUGCAGUGUAAUGAGGCCAUAAAGUGGAUGUAAAUAUAAUUUGUACUCCAGGAAUGGCAUAAAUCACCCUCACAUUAUGAGGCAAUUUAUUGUAAAUGAGCGUGAGGCCUCCCCAGGGAAAAUCUGUUUCAAAGAGUGACAAAUGGCAUCUUCUGCACAUUGCUUCCAGAUAGCAUUUGAAACAAGGUCUGCUUUCACACAAGCCAGUGUAGAUACAGAGGAUGCCUCCUGCUCCUCCUCAUGCCUUCUCAGCAGCCCACCAGGCACCACAGGCACGGCCAGGCAAAUUCAUUGGAGGGCGUAAGAUGUGCAUGUGUCCUUGGAAGCACAGUUUUUAUUUGGGAACAUCUAGGAAAGCGCUGGAAUUUAGCCUGGCCCUUGAGUGCCAGCGGAUUUUGUCAGUCUGGUAUUUAGGAAAAAAGUCAUUGCAGUUAGAAACUGAGCACAGCAGAGAAGAGACACCAAGAGGAAUUGCGCAGAGGCUUCGGUAAUACAGUGUGCCACGUCACAGCCUCCUGCAAUAGGAGAUGUGCACCCAUUGUGGUUCAGGACUUGCCUUUCGCCAUGUCCUGAUGGUCCAGGGGAUGACAGACAUGUCCCCUCUCUCUGUGCAGAUGUAUGACUGUAUGGGGGUUCGAAAAUGACUACUGGGGGCAUAGGCAUGGCCCAGACCACCCUUCUGGGUCUGGUCUCAAUCUCCCCCACCUGGAGUCCUCAGGGUGCCAUCCAGACCAAAAGAGAGAGACCCUUCCCAAGAUGGUAGGAUGCUUAAGCCUGCAGAGUACUUCCAUGGAGGUGACAUCUGUGGCCCACCUCCUCUCUGAGUGUAUUCUCUCCCAGGGAAGCUUCUCAUGUAUUCAGCAGAAGAGCUGCUGGCAGGAAGGCUGGCUCUGCAAUGGGCGGUGUGGAUGUGGCAAGCAGCUGGGUGCGGCUGAACGAGCUGCAGUAAUAGCAGAAGAAUGCAACGUGCCUCCUGGGCUGCAAGGCAGCUUGUGAGCAGGGUUGGCCCUGCAUGGCUCCCCUGCCACGUGAUGGAUGAGCAGGUGGUGUGGCAUGUUGCUGCUUUUCACUCAUUGUCAGGGCUUGCUGUGGGAAGUGACGUGCUGCUGUGCCCUCAGGUGUCCAGCUGGAAAAUCAAUUGAGCUCUGCCUGGGCCAUCAGCUCUUGUUCCCUGACCACAGCCAUCUCCUUGGGAGAGGCAGAGAUUGAUAAACUUCACUGGGAGGAGCUGAAGCAGAGCUGAGCGUUUGCCCUGUGGUCAGGUUUGUGCAACAGUCCCACCAGCAGUCCCACCUCAUGUAGUUUUGCUCCAUCUUGCUUCCUCUCUCUUCUGCCUCAGGUAGGAGCCCAGUCUUCAGGAUGUAAAUGGUAAUAAGAGCAACUCUUUUCAUAUCAGUCCUGAGCCUCAAGCUCACCAAUCACCUGGACCUUCGGUUCAGAGCAUACUGCAGCUUCUCUAGACUGCCUCGUGUCUGCCUUGAUUCAGUGCUGACCUCCUAGUCUUUCCUAGGCUCACUCCUGGAAAACGUUGGGCUUGACUCUGCCUUGCCAUAUUCACAUUUACUCAACAUGGGAAGGCCUUUCUGUCUUUGGUCCCAGCACUUUCUGGGAGACAAAUACUCCCCAUUAUAACAGACUUCACAUCUGCCUUGGAAAACCAAUGGGUUCAGGGCUGAGCUCCAGCCAUGUAGAGCCACAAGCUGUUUGUGUAGGACCUGCAAGUCUGGAGAAAUUUCAUGCUGAAGCUGUUAUUUUGGGUGUUCUUCAGCCAGUGUUGCCUACCCGUUGUGCCCGAGCUAGAGUUUAAUUCAUCUGUAUGGUUUGAGGUGAGGCUGUUGAUGAAAAUUAAGAAAACGUAACAUCUUAUGAGAGACCCCUCGUGGUACUGGAAGUGGUUUUGUCUAUGAAGGCCAGCUUGUCAGAUGGAAUUUGUCAGUUUAGCAUCAGUUUAACAUCAGUGAGGCUUUGUUGACUUGCGCACUCAGAGGAUUGGUUCCAGCCCCCGGUCUGUAUGGUUUUAUAGCAGAUAAUGAAUGCAACAUGUUGUGCUUGCUUUUCCUCCCCUUCUCUGAAGCUGCAGUGCUACUGACCUGAAAAUGUUUUCCCACUAUGAAACUUUCAAUUAGGACACAAAUCCUUUUUAAGUUGCUGAAUGCCACACGCUGCCUUCUCUCUGUGUGGGAACAGCUCCACUGCACCAAGAGGAGGUGUCAUCUUGACGGGAUAGUGAUUCCUUGUGGCACUGACUCAUAGCUGGUACCUUUGCGCUCAUUUUCACAUCUUCCUCCUGAUCCUGUUUUAGGCUGCAUUUCCAUUACUCCUCCACCCUGGGGGAGGAAUCCUCAGCCAACACAGAUCUAACCCGGAAACCACAAAGGCUGAAAAGCUCUCUCAUAGCAGUAAUGAUACCGUGUUUCCCUCCUCUGCAGCUGCAUUUUGAAAACAAAAGACCAAGAGGCAAAGUUGCCACCUACAAGCAGAACUUGCAGCUCUGUAGUCAUCGGGGACUUGUGCAAAUAGACUUAACCCAGAUGCCAGGGAACAUGCUUCCUAUUGGCGCCAGGGAACAUGCUUCCUAUUGGCACCAGGGACCGACAAGAACCAAAACUAUCGCCUAAUCUCGGGGGAGAACAAGGUCCAUUUUUUUGCAUAUUUAGCAAGGACAGGCUUAGACAUGAGCUGAGAAUUUAGCUUCAUCCAAAUUUUAUUUGCAGUAUUUGUGACCAGCAGUUUGGGCCAAUCUAUUGUAAAAAAAAAAAAAACAGCUGGGAAUAUCUGCAAAAUAAGGUGGCACACGCACUUCCACUUGGUUGCAACUCUGUAGAUACUCAUGUCUGUGCACAUAUUCCUGCUGCAUGAAAGAUUUCUUAUCGAAAAGAUCGAUGAAGAACAACCAGUAGUUAGAUGAGUCCAUUAUUUCAAAUGAAAUGUAGAUGAGUUGAAGUCUAUGCGCUGAUGAAUUCUUUUUACUACAAUGUUUUGCUAGGCCAGGUUUAUUUGUGUACUUUUGGGCUAAGUGCUAGUACAGAUAGUACUUUUGAACUGGCAAACAGUAGGUGAUUGACAUAAGACAGAAGGCCUGAUUUCAUCAAGGCUUUGGUAUGCCACUUGCUGGAAAAUCUAUUCUGAUAAGUGCCACCCAGUGUUAUUAAAUGUGGCACUGGAAGGUAAACUAAGUCCCUGCCAAGGAACUGCCAUUGUGAACUUGUUUGCUCUCUGUUCAUACAGACAGGCCUGAUGUUAGUCGUUAAUGGGAAAAGGUCAGUGGGACUAGGAAGGGCUUGGCUGCAUCUGGCUUUAGCUUCUGAAAUCCCCAGCCACAUAGCAGCAGUGUAAUUCUGUAAGCUUAGUAUGUAGAAGUCCAGUUCUUCCUUCUCUUGGACAAAUUCAAGAGCAUGAACUGGAAGUAAAAUAUGACCUAAAGCUAUGUGGUAUUUCACGUGCACUUGAUGUCUCAGUACUCCAUGUGAGAAGUAGGACGGUGGAGAAUCAAGUUGGUGUCCACAUGAGCUGCUUCUGAACACCUGACACCCCUCCCCUCUACCCAAGGCUGUCUGAAAUGCCUAUGGAAAGCUCUUCCAAGAAUUCCUUAAUACUGUAUUUCAGAUGUCAUGCUAUUUGUUUUCUUCUUCACCUGCUAGGAGUUCACUGCCUUAGCUGCCCAGGGCUUGAUAAUCUUCUCUGGAUCAGUAUGCUCUGCUUGGAUUUCUGUCGCCGCCUCUGUGUGACCUGUCCUCUGCUGGCCAGACACUUGCAGGCUCACGUGGGGCACCCACGCUUGGAUGGAAACACUGGAAUGGGUUAUUUCUUCUGAGUUGAUCAGAUCACACCUGCACCACCCUCAGAUAAGGGCAUCAUAUCAAAUAGCGCUUGGCGCUCCUGAAUGCAUUUGUCUUCUCCAACUUAUGAGGUAGGGAAGAGCUAUUUUCUCUCUGGUGUGGAAAGGAAACAGGAGAACUGAGACGCCAACGCCCACAUCUACAAAGGUAUUUAAGCUCUCUCUGGGAUCUGAGCAUCGUGGCCAAGUGGUUCGUUGAUAGUCACACGCAGUCUGGGACAGCAGGUGUCUAAAGCCAUGCUUCCAAAGUCCUAAGCUACAGCCCCUAUUGCAAGGAUUGAAUUUCUCCAAAACUCCUUUCAGGACCAAUUCUAAGAAAGGGCUGACAUUGCUGGUGCCAGUUCCUCUGGUUACUUUCCAUGGUGCCCCUUGUCCCCAGACUUGCUGUGCAGGGUCCUUUACAGGGGUUGCUCUCAGCACCUCGUGGCACCCAUCUCUGCUUGUUCGUGGUGGGUGCUGUGGAGGAAACCACCUGUUGCUGUAAAUCUGGUGGCGUUUCCUCAUCUCUUCUGCAUCCCCUUUCAGUUGCUGUAACUACAUCUGUGUGACCUGUUCGCUCCUGCUAUGUAGAAACUUAGGCAGUCACACGGGGACAUAUGGGGUAACUUGUACUCCCCUGACCCUGUAAUUAUAGAAGGGUCAGUUUAUUUCCAGAAAGUAUAGCUUACAUAUGGUUUUCCUUUCAUUAUUUUGGAUGGAGCGACCUGUCAGCUAGAAGGGCUCUGCUUGUUCCCUCUAGCAACAGCAAGUAAAUACCUGACCUAUUUAGAAAAACAUAAAGGAAACAAUAGAGACCUGGAGAAAUCUUUGGAUGCAGGAUGCUUGCUGAACUGUGUGUGACCCUCUGAAGAGCAACAUUAGCUUAAAAUAUUAGUACAUGUUAUUUAGUGAAGAUAAAAGAAAAUUAGAGAAAAUAUACAAGGCUUGAGGUCAAAGGUUCCUGUGCAGUCCAUUUCCCAUUGAAAUCAAAUGGCCAAAAUGAAGAGGUCAGCAGAAGUUUGCUUGAAUUUGGAUUGAGAGAAAACAAAGAAAGCUCCUUGCUCACUCCAGGGAGUGCUGUUAUCAAGAAGAUCUCAUCAUAACAGAACAAGGCCAGGAUUUUCAAAAUUAAUUAAUUGGUUUGCUUGCCUCUCUUGAAAUGGGCAGAGCAGAGCAGCUUUUGGGAAGGUGUGAGAAGCCGCUGAGCACCAUGGAGACCCGUGCUUAUGCUAGAAGUGUUAGCCAAUACCUUGAGUGUGCUUUGCAGUAUUUGACCCAUCUACUGUCAGAUCAGACUCCAGGGGAUAAAUUAGAGAAUUUUGACAUGGGUGAAUGUAAAGUCUUUCCUUCUGCCAUCUUGGGCAUCUCUGCUCUGCAUCCCUUUUUGUGCCAAGGCAGGAACAUAAUGUCCAAAGAAUGGAGAUGCCUCGUGUGAGUUUUAAGAUUUCAGGAUGCACUGAGCUCACCAAUGCAGGUGGUGAGUGCAGAGACCUCAGGAGUGGUGCUUGGAAGACAAGGUUGAAGGACUCCUGCGGUUCACAAAUGCUACUUUGGAACUGGAUAGUUGAGUACUGCCAGUUCCUAGAAUCAGCUUAAAGUUAAUAGAGUGAUGGCAGAUGCCCAAACAUCCUCACAAUCCUCUGUCUGCAGGCAGUUUUCAUCACAGUACAGACAAAAUAAAAUGGUUUUUAAAAGCAACACACCCUGCAGGUCUCUGUCCUCGCCACCGACUAUAUGAAAUUUAAGCUACCAAAAGAGAAAGGGGGAGGGAGUGAAUUCUUACAAAUAACGUAAUUGGAUAACCUUGAAAGUGUCAAAAAUGUGUGAGACUUUGAUACAUUUUUAUCCUCUUAAAAUAAAACAGAUGCUGAGGGGAGGCUAUCAUAAGGCAUCUCAGCAAGGCUGGUGCAAAAUACUGAAAUAGCUGAAAUAUUUGCUUUUUUCCAAGAGAAAAGCUAAGAAUGGGCUCCCCAGGGCAGUGGGCACGGCCGUGAGCUGCUGGAGCUCAUGGAGGGUUUGGACAGUGCUCAGACAGUGGCUUGAAUUUUGGGUGGUGCUGGGGUGGAGGCAGGAGUUGGACUCGAUGAUCCUUGUGGGUCCCUUCCAAUUCAUGGUAUUUUAUGACUUCCAAUUGAUCUGAAUUUUGAAAUAAGGUUUCAGAUGACUUCGAAUGGAUGCUUUUCACAUCCAGGAACAUGGUGAGAGACUUCUAGCUUACGUGAGAGAUUGCCUUCAGGCAGAAGAGCCAUUGCUUAAGUAGCAGCAUUUCUGCUCCAUAGGCAUGACACUACAUGUGUUCGGGUUCUUUAUAUAAGGCCAUUCUUCUCCUGAAGGGUCUGUAACUCCAUAUUUAAUCCACUCUUGAUUUCAGUGGAAGGUAGCGUACAGAAACAAAUCGUAAAUGACAGAAGGUGGGGGCGAACUUCAGCUCUAUUCUGUAGAAUCGGUUUUCCUAACAUCGGCAGUCUUUAGAGGAGCAUUUAUUAUUUUUUGGCAGCCUCGCUCAGAAUCAGAGCUCCAUUCAUUUUAUGCCUCCCUGUAUUUACCCAGCAGGUCAUCAGUUCAUGUAAGUUCAUCGUUAUGUUCAUUUAAGAGCGCAGUGUUCUGUUACUGUAGGUGUGGUUACUUCAUAAAUAGCAGAUAGCUGCAGUGGGACUGUACAGAAGCUGCCUUUGGCAGUUCACGAGAGACAGCAUUUUUUCAGGCUUUGGAUGAUUUGUUUGCAAUACCUCUGUGGGGUGGGUAGCAUCCUUGUUGUAAUGGUGUGGCAAUGGAGACGCAAAAGGAGUGACAUAUUUUGCUGAUGAUCACGCAGCAAGUCCUUUCUCACUUGACUGCCACCUAACUCUGCUACUGCUGCAAACUGAGAAACUAACCCUCAUGUCCACUAGUAGUGAUAAUGGGAGUUAAAAUAUGAAAUAUGCUAAGAAAUGGAUGUCAGGAGAGUCCCAUCUGUUCACCAGGCACAGCCUGUCUCCCUAGGGAUGCUUUGCACUCUCCUGAAAACAUAACCUAAUCCCAUGAGCAGAUAAAAGGUCAGACAGUGAGGAAAAUGUGCUCCUGAGCUUCUGACUCCUUUAACUCCUUCCGUGUCUUGGACAAACCUCCUCUCUCUCUGAGCAGUUAACUGAGUACAGAUCUCAGUAUUCUCCUCCCUACGGUUUAUUAUGAAUUUAUGAGGAAAAAAAUCCAAUCCCUUCAGCUAUGAAAAUCACCCUCCUUUGUCUAUAAAUAGGUUUAACCUCUUAAACUGUGUCAGAUGCUGCUGAUUCACCAAUCUGAUCUAGAUCUUCAGACGUUCUCUGCUCCUGCAGCUCCAGGGCAAGCGACUCAUGCUGUCUACAAGCGCAAUAUCCCGCUGAGCCUGGCAGAACCACGAUUGUGCUGACAGUGCCUGCAGAUUUCUACUGAAACCUGGGCAAGAGAUUUUCUCCAGAUCCAGUCUGCAGGCAACCCUUCUUUCACUGGGUGUUAUUCUGCUGAGAACAUUUCCAGAACCCUCUCUGACUGGAGAAGAAACUGACUACUUUUACUGACAGUUGUUUGAAAUUAUCAUGAGCAAAAAGACAACUCCUGUAGGCUCUAAACAGAGUCUCUCAUCUAGAAGCCUUUGGGACUUCAGUCAGCACCUCUCAAGCCCAAGUACAGCUUUCUUAUAAAAAGGACUGGAUUCUUCCUUAAAUAUCACAGUUUCUUGAAGGACAUCCACAGGACUUCUCUGUUUUCACAGAAUCAUAGAAUCAUUUAGGCUGGAAAACACCUUCAAGAUCAUCAACUCCAACCAUCAGCCUGAACUACUGAGUCCUAUCACUAAACCAUGUCCUUGUUCAAGGCUUGAGCUGGUGCCUGGUUAAGCUGCUGGGAGUCUUCUCCUUAGGAUGUCCUGUCUAUGUAUGAAUACAUCAGCUGAAGAUCUUCCUAACCAACCCUACUUCUAUCCCAAGUGCAAAGGAAAAAGGAAGCUUCCUUCAAAGCAAGAUCCCUCCAAAAAGAAGCCACAGAUAAUCUUUAUUUCCAUUGUCCCUUCUCCCCCUCCUUUGGAGAGCAGGCCUUGAAUCGACUUUCCCUAACCUGAUAUCAUCAGCAGAAGACUUGGGUGAAUACAGGCUCUUCAGAAAGAAGACUCUGGUCAGUGAAGCUGCAUUAAGGACUAUGUAGUGCUGAACUACCAAUGAGGUGUGAUCUGUCAAAGUGCCAUGGACAGGGACUGAUUCUAGAGUUGAAUAAGACAGAGAAGUUGCUCCUCUCCAGGUGGCUCAUGCCCCUCCCAGGACAUUUCUCCAUUGCUCCCAGGGGGCACCUGCAGGAACAGUGGACCUCUCAACUCCAGCACUGAGCCCUUUAGCCCACCCAUCCCAACAAACUGUCCAUGUCCAUGUGGUAACCAUUCUCUUUGCCUUUCCAAGAAAAGCCAUCAGAGAGGAACAAGCUGUGAGUAAGAGGAGGAGCAAAGCCCCAUGCCUUUUUUCUUCCUAUCUUUCUCUGCGGAGAAGUAACUCACAUUGGCUUUUCCCCAUUUUCCCCCACUUAAGGUCCUGCUAACAGAGUGAGAAGGUGCCUGUAAAUAACUUGUCCCCACCACCUCCAUGGCCUUGAGACCCCAUGAGAGAUGUGUAUGGAGACUGGGCAUAAUUCACCUCCCCCUUACAAGUGCCACAUGCUCUUGCAGCUCAUAUAUGACUUUUGCUCCUGCAGCAUGAUAGCCAUGCUCAGCAUCAAUGCUUCUCACCGCUGACAUAGCUGGCUGCCACUCUGAUGAUCCCUGGCCAGAGCAGGGUCAUCUUGAGCAGGAAGCAUGCAAAAUCCUGCAGGAUCUGUACAUGGGCAGGCAGGAGGGCGGGUGAGAAAGACCCCUUACCUCCCACGAUGAUAAUCUGGUCUCCAAUCACAACAGCUGGUGCACAGACGUUCUUCACCACUCUGGUCUCCAUCCGAAACCACAUAUUCCUGGAGACAUGGUAAACCUGACAAAUAAAUAAAGAUGCACACACA